RNAcentral lists this non-coding RNA (75 nucleotides) under Gemmatimonadota bacterium. Lineage: Bacteria; Pseudomonadati; Gemmatimonadota. The record is from RNAcentral.
AAUCGAUUCCGUGGUGAUUUGCGGCCUAUUGCAGCCACGUUAAACAAGUCGCUAAAACGCCAGCCCGUUUGGCGA